Molecule: unclassified non-coding RNA, 3266 nt
Filed under: Hevea brasiliensis (rubber tree)
Lineage: Eukaryota; Viridiplantae; Streptophyta; Magnoliopsida; Malpighiales; Euphorbiaceae
Source: RNAcentral
GACAGGGAAGGAGAGAGAGAUUCAAUAGAUAAAACUACAAAGAUUCAAUAGACAAAACUAGUAAUUUUUAGAGACCAAAUAAUGCAUUUUGCCAAACAAGAAACACAUUUAGUUUAAAAUUCCAUGACAUGAUUUGGUUGUGACAGAUUAUCUGUUAGCAACAUAUUUCAAAACUCGGGGUACUCGUUUGGCACUGAAAACUGUCGAAAAUGCAAGAGUGCUUUGUGGCGUAGGUUUGUAUAAGCUUCUCCAUUGUUAGGUAGCAAUUGCAAUUUCCAUUUUGUCCCCUUGUAUAGAUUAGGUUUGAGCGAAGAACCUCAGCCAAUUCGCAAACAUGCGCUACAAAACGAGAAUCAUUCUUAUGGGUGAACUAUUGUUGAUCUCUGCAGCCAAAAAGAUAAGAAAUGAAAAGCCCAUUAAUCAAUCUUAGGAUAACCUGGCUUUGCAUCAUUUCACUCCAUUUUCACAACACUUCCACCCCCGCUACUCGCUAUUGGCACAAACCCAAUGAAAAAACAUGCUGAACUAAUAAUCAUUAGACUUACAACAUGACUCCGUGUGGCCAAUCAAAGGAAAGAGAAUAACCAAUUAAUUCUUAACAAUAUUAUAAUAUGCCCAAUAAAGGAGCUCUCGCUGCAUAUUAACCAAUGAACGCCAAACACCAUCUACAGCAACAUACAAAAAAACCAAAGGUGCUCAAGAAUCAAAAAUCGAUCUCUAAUCAGUUGAUGGUAGUACCAGCAGAAAUCUUUCAGUGUAGCAUUAGCAUAUAGCGCGCACGUUAUCCUUGUUUCUACAAAUUGUGCCACCUCCCCAGUGCUUCUCCUACACGGACUCUAUCUCCACGCCUAAUAUUGAACCUGAACUCUGAAGAAGAGUCGUCCCUGUCUUUGAGCGGCUUUAAUGUGGGAGCCUGAAAGACAAGCACUACUGUCGAUCCCAUAUUGAAAGCAGCCACCUCAUCCCCUUUCUUCAGUAUUUUACCAAUGCCCUCAGGUUCAUAUACCUGUUCUUCUGGAGGCUCAGAAUUCACUAGCUUUUUCCUUGGCAGGUUUGUACGAAAUUCUGGUUCAAUGAAAAGCUUAAUUGACCCAAUAUUUGUAGCACCAAUGGCAGCAAUAGCCAUGAAUCCUUCUUCCCAUAAACCUUCAAGUACAACCCUUUCAUUUUCAACAUAAAGAUUCCUGAUUGUUCUUGUAGCACGUUCAUUUAGAGGAAAUAAGUGCCCUAUAAAAAAAAAAUUAGAGAAAAAAAGCAGUGAAUAUAAUUAGAUCGAUUAAAUACUAAAGGGAUUUUAUAUUUGCAAGAAUAAUUCCACAAGAAUAAUAACAAACACAGGUAUAAGCUGCUAAAGAGAUUCAAACAUGCUUCUCUUCAUGUACUUGGUAAUUGGUAAUUAUCACAGUAGCUUAGAUAAAUUCUAUAAAUGAACACCAAUGAGUCCAAAAGCAAUCAGUUUGGCGUGGCAUAUGUACAUUCAGAUUCAGCAUUCCAUAAUUAAAAAAAAAUAGCAAAAAUCCUCCCAAGGCAUAUGGCAUGGUCAUUUUGCACAGCCCCACUCAUCUCCUUCCUAUUUUUCAUUGCUACAACAUCCUCUUAAGGACUAAAUAAUAUUUCCUUCUAUUUCUUGUUAUUCCUGGCUAAAUUCCAUGAAAUAAUUUAUCCAAGUGGAGCACUAUGUUCUUAAAGACCAGCUGAAGUUGGUGGGCUUUGGAGGAUCACAAGAAAGAAAUGCAAUAUAUUUUCUCUUAUAUUCUACCAGGUACCAUGGACCUUUCUAGAUGAUUCCCUUGUGAUAGACAAUUUGUCCUAUAUUUUCUCCCCACUCCUCCCCCUUGCUCUCCUUGAACUAGCAUAAUCUCUUUGCCUAUUUUAAUUAUUAUUUUGAAAGUCUUUUAUUAUUCAUGUUCACAUUCUUAUUGUCAUACCACAUGGAUAAAUGAAGUCAGAAAACAAACAUCUCAGCAUAACCUUAUUAACCAGUAGAUUGUCAACUAUAAACAUCAAAUCAUGGAUAUAAUAGAAACGGUUGUAAGCGUAAUCAAAGAACCAAGAAAAUAGUGAACCACAUAGUAUAAAAGUUAAACAAUUUCUUUUUAUAACCAAAUACAAAGCAACUUGAGUAACCUGCAAAAUGCCGGCGGACAAGGACAUUCCAUUCAACUGGUGAGUGUAUGCGAUGAUAGUCACCAGGCCUCAAGUAUAUCACACAAUAGUAAAGGCCCUUUGUUGGACUGCAAUCAAUUCUUUUGAUAUGUAAAUUGCUCAACUCAUCAAAACCUUAAUCCCCAGUACAUAGGUCAAAUAUGCAUAUAAUAUUCUUUGUGGAGUUCCGUGCUGACACAGUGUCCCUGACUUUAGGAGAAGCCAAUGAAAAUCUCCACCAUGACUUCUUACUGUUUUCUCGAAGAUUGCUUUGUUGUUCACUACUCUUUUCUUGGACAUCCCCAUCAGCUAUCAUAGGAAGGAAGGAACUAGCACCAAGAAGAGAAGAAACAGAGUAGGAAAGACCUUUGACCUGCUCAAUCAUAGCUCCUGAUCCUUUUAACUCUCCGAAUCUUAGUAUAGUGCCAUCCACUGGACUAACCAGUUACCAGGCAACAUGGAUCAGGGUCUAUAGGCCUGGUGCCUUCUUUCAAGGCACGGACAAAAAAUUCCUUCAAAGAAGCAUAAUUGUCAAGAGGCAGAGCUGCUUCUUCUAGGUUUGAAUGGAAUGCCCGAGCCCAUGCUCUGUAGACAUAUGGACGAAGCCAUAUGGGAAGUUCAAUGCCUGUCAAGGAACCCCAAAAUCUAGAAAUGGAGCGUAAAGGAAUCAUCCUCAGAAAUGUAGCCUUUACAUCUGGUUGAAACUCUAAUUCAAUUCCUUUUUCCCGUGCCUCUUCAGUCUUUUUGUCAUCAUAGAGACGACGUGCAUGAAGGGCACCAAGCAUGAGUAGAGUAGCCACAGUUGCACCAGGCAACAGAAAAGUACUACCUUGGCCUUGGGAGCUGCUACUACCGUUGCCAUUGAAGGAAGCACGAGCUUGAGACACUUUUUGGACCUUUUUAAGAAACGAGGUAAAGAAUUGGCGUUGACAAUGGUGCUGGUUGAAUCGUAAAUUAUGAGGGAAAAUAGGGACUUUAUGGGAGAACCGGAAUUUCAUCUUCUGUGGAAUGGUUUGAUUGGCAGAGAUGUUUGGUUUCGAUAGGGUUUUUCUGCAGGAACGAGUCCCGGAGGGAGGGGGAAAUGGAUGGUUGAAGUGAAGAAAUAAAACGACGAGUGUUUG